AGUACGGAGCAGAUUGUGAGGAGAGAUGCGCACAUUGUGCUGACAACCAAUUAUCAUGUGACACUGCAACCGGGAACUGUUCAAACACAACACCCAGAUGCAUGCCGGGAUACUAUGGUCCGAGGUGUGACACAGCUUGCUACGGCUCAUAUGGUCCGGACUGUGGGACGAGAUGUGGUCACUGUGCUGAGUUACCGACUGUCUGUAACGCUACAUCCGGGACCUGUGCUGAGAGAACACCGAGGUGCAUGCCUGGAUACACGGGUGUAAAAUGUGACACAGAAUGCACACGGGGAACUUUUGGUACAAAUUGUGAAGAAAACUGUGGCUUCUGUGCCGAAGGGAACGCUGCCUGCAACGCUACAUCUGGACACUGUCCCGACAGAGAGCCGCGGUGUGCACUAGGGUACUCUGGUCUAAAGUGUU
Liolophura sinensis is the source of this 426-nucleotide long non-coding RNA. RefSeq lists it as uncharacterized. NCBI's taxonomy places the organism in Eukaryota, Metazoa, Mollusca, Polyplacophora, Chitonida, Chitonidae. The transcript has 3 exons. The record is from RefSeq and is a predicted model, not a curated record.